GACGAACGCUGGCGGCGUGCCUAAUACAUGCAAGUGGGACGCAAGGGAACACACUGUGCUUGCACACCGUGUUUUCUUGAGUCGCGAACGGGUGAGUAACGCGUAGGUAACCUGCCUAUUAGCGGGGGAUAACUAUUGGAAACGAUAGCUAAUACCGCAUAAUAUUAAUUAUUGCAUGAUAAUUGAUUGAAAGAUGCAAGCGCAUCACUAGUAGAUGGACCUGCGUUGUAUUAGCUAGUUGGUAAGGUAAGAGCUUACCAAAGCGACGAUACAUAGCCGACCUGAGAGGGUGAUCGGCCACACUGGGACUGAGACACGGCCCAGACUCCUACGGGAGGCAGCAGUAGGGAAUCUUCGGCAAUGGACGAAAGUCUGGCCGAGCAACGCCGCGUGAGUGAAGAAGGUUUUCGGAUCGUAAAGCUCUGUUGUAAGUCAAGAACGUGUGCGAGAGUGU
Molecule: ribosomal RNA, 454 nt
Filed under: Streptococcus mutans
Lineage: Bacteria; Bacillati; Bacillota; Bacilli; Lactobacillales; Streptococcaceae
Description: bacterial SSU rRNA
Rfam family: Bacterial small subunit ribosomal RNA
Source: RNAcentral